CUACCUACUUCUUUUGCAACCCACUCCCAUGGUGUGACGGGCGGUGUGUACAAGGCCCGGGAACGUAUUCACCGUAGCAUUCUGAUCUACGAUUACUAGCGAUUCCGACUUCAUGGAGUCGAGUUGCAGACUCCAAUCCGGACUACGACAUACUUUAUGAGGUCCGCUUGCUCUCGCGAGGUCGCUUCUCUUUGUAUAUGCCAUUGUAGCACGUGUGUAGCCCUGGUCGUAAGGGCCAUGAUGACUUGACGUCAUCCCCACCUUCCUCCAGUUUAUCACUGGCAGUCUCCUUUGAGUUCCCGGCCUAACCGCUGGCAACAAAGGAUAAGGGUUGCGCUCGUUGCGGGACUUAACCCAACAUUUCACAACACGAGCUGACGACAGCCAUGCAGCACCUGUCUCACAGUUCCCGAAGGCACCAAUCCAUCUCUGGAAAGUUCUGUGGAUGUCAAGACCAGGUAAGGUUCUUCGCGUUGCAUCGAAUUAAACCACAUGCUCCACCGCUUGUGCGGGCCCCCGUCAAUUCAUUUGAGUUUUAACCUUGCGGCCGUACUCCCCAGGCGGUCGAUUUAACGCGUUAGCUCCGGAAGCCACGCCUCAAGGGCACAACCUCCAAAUCGACAUCGUUUACAGCGUGGACUACCAGGGUAUCUAAUCCUGUUUGCUCCCCACGCUUUCGCACCUGAGCGUCAGUCUUUGUCCAGGGGGCCGCCUUCGCCACCGGUAUUCCUCCAGAUCUCUACGCAUUUCACCGCUACACCUGGAAUUCUACCCCCCUCUACAAGACUCUAGCCUGCCAGUUUCGAAUGCAGUUCCCAGGUUGAGCCCGGGGAUUUCACAUCCGACUUGACAGACCGCCUGCGUGCGCUUUACGCCCAGUAAUUCCGAUUAACGCUUGCACCCUCCGUAUUACCGCGGCUGCUGGCACGGAGUUAGCCGGUGCUUCUUCUGCGGGUAACGUCAAUCGACAAGGUUAUUAACCUCACCGCCUUCCUCCCCGCUGAAAGUGCUUUACAACCCGAAGGCCUUCUUCACACACGCGGCAUGGCUGCAUCAGGCUUGCGCCCAUUGUGCAAUAUUCCCCACUGCUGCCUCCCGUAGGAGUCUGGACCGUGUCUCAGUUCCAGUGUGGCUGGUCAUCCUCUCAGACCAGCUAGGGAUCGUCGCCUAGGUGAGCCGUUACCCCACCUACCAGCUAAUCCCAUCUGGGCACAUCUGAUGGCAUGAGGCCCGAAGGUCCCCCACUUUGGUCUUGCGACGUUAUGCGGUAUUAGCUACCGUUUCCAGUAGUUAUCCCCCUCCAUCAGGCAGUUUCCCAGACAUUACUCACCCGUCCGCCGCUCGUCACCCGAGAGCAAGCUCUCUGUGCUACCGCUCGACUGC
This 1383-nucleotide ribosomal RNA is filed under the name Klebsiella pneumoniae. RNAcentral describes it as "partial 16S ribosomal RNA". Lineage: Bacteria; Pseudomonadati; Pseudomonadota; Gammaproteobacteria; Enterobacterales; Enterobacteriaceae. The record is from RNAcentral.